AAAACACAAACGGCUGAAACCAGCUCUUUUCCCAAAAAAAAAAAGAUUCUGAAGAAAACUUUUGAGCUUCUUUCUAUUUUUUGGGGUUUUGCUGAGAGUUUUUCAGAGAUUGGAACAACGUUUUUGGGGCUUGAUUCACUGUUUGUUUGCUAUGUUUGAGCUAGAAAACUGCAGGCUGCUUUGUUUCUUAGGCUAUUUUCCAUUUGCUAGUUUGCAGAUCUGACCAAUAUUUGGAUAGAUUGGUAGGCUAUAAAGCUGAGGAAAGAGUUUAAAGUUUGCUGGAAAAGGCUUUGAAAGCUGAAGAUUUAAUUAGACCAUGUAUAAGUUUAAUCUAUCAUUUGAUUUCAUAUACGUUAGAAAGUCACCGAUUUCCUUUUGUACAUUAGUUUUGUUAUUUAAGUACCAUAAGUCUGAUUAUUUGUAUAAGGAAUCUUGAAUCCAUUUAUUGUAUUGGAUUUGUUUGAAGUUAGCCAUCAGCCCCGUAAAGGUUACUAGCUGAAUGUUUGAGGGUAAUUUUUAUAUACAGUAUAAAGCCUGAAUAUUAAGAUUUUUUUUUUUUUUUUUUUUUUUU
This is a long non-coding RNA of Nicotiana tabacum (common tobacco), 571 nucleotides long. RefSeq lists it as uncharacterized. The record is from RefSeq and is a predicted model, not a curated record. NCBI's taxonomy places the organism in Eukaryota, Viridiplantae, Streptophyta, Magnoliopsida, Solanales, Solanaceae.